AGCGAACGUUAGCGGCGGGCUUAACACAUGCAAGUCGAGCGAGAAAGGGGCUUCGGCCCUGAGUACAGCGGCGGACGGGUGAAUAACACGUAGGUAACCUUCCUUUCAGCGGGGGACAACGGUCCGAAAGGACCGCUAAUACCGCAUACGUUCCCUGGGACCUCGGUCCUGGGGAGGAAAGGCCCGCAAGGGCCACUGGAUGAGGGGCCUGCGUAGCAUCAGCUAGUUGGUGGGGUAAUGGCCUACCAAGGCGAAGACGCUUAGCUGGUCUGAGAGGAUGAUCAGCCACACUGGGACUGAGACACGGCCCAGACUCCUACGGGAGGCAGCAGUGGGGAAUAUUGGACAAUGGGCGCAAGCCUGAUCCAGCCACGCCGCGUGAGUGAUGAAGGCCUCGGGUCGUAAAGCUCUGUGGGGAGGGACGAACGGCGCCAUGAAGAGUGGCGAUUGACGGUACCUCCUUAGCAAGCACCGGCUAACUUCGUGCCAGCAGCCGCGGUAA
This 502-nucleotide ribosomal RNA is filed under the name uncultured bacterium. Its description in RNAcentral is "bacterial SSU rRNA". It matches the Rfam family "Bacterial small subunit ribosomal RNA", at positions 30 to 523 of the family's 1533-position model. The record is from RNAcentral.